This 450-nucleotide ribosomal RNA is filed under the name uncultured organism. RNAcentral's name for it is "partial 16S ribosomal RNA". It matches the Rfam family "Bacterial small subunit ribosomal RNA", at positions 332 to 798 of the family's 1533-position model. The record is from RNAcentral.
UACACUCCUGCGGGAGGCAGCAGUGGGGAAUAUUGGACAAUGGGCGCAAGCCUGAUCCAGCCAUGCCGCGUGAGUGAUGAAGGCCCUAGGGUUGUAAAGCUCUUUCACCGGUGAAGAUAAUGACGGUAACCGGAGAAGAAGCCCCGGCUAACUUCGUGCCAGCAGCCGCGGUAAUACGAAGGGGGCUAGCGUUGUUCGGAUUUACUGGGCGUAAAGCGCACGUAGGCGGACUAUUAAGUCAGGGGUGAAAUCCCGGGGCUCAACCCCGGAACUGCCUUUGAUACUGGUAGUCUUGAGUUCGAGAGAGGUGAGUGGAAUUCCGAGUGUAGAGGUGAAAUUCGUAGAUAUUCGGAGGAACACCAGUGGCGAAGGCGGCUCACUGGCUCGAUACUGACGCUGAGGUGCGAAAGCGUGGGGAGCAAACAGGAUUAGAUACCCUAGUAGUCCCAU